This 710-nucleotide long non-coding RNA is filed under the name Sinocyclocheilus anshuiensis. RNAcentral describes it as "lncRNA (ENSSANG00000035755.1)". Lineage: Eukaryota; Metazoa; Chordata; Actinopteri; Cypriniformes; Cyprinidae. The record is from RNAcentral.
GGCCUGUUUUGAUGGACAACUUUUUUUUCAGACAAAAAGUAUAGGUACAGUCCUGAGAAGCUCAAAAAGUCUGUGUCAUGCCAGUCAGAGGAGUUUUCUAACUCUAGACAAGGCCGGAGACAAUCAGGUAGGUUCCCAAUCUAAGUCUUGGUCUUAACUUAUCUUUUUUUAAUUGAAACUUUCCAAUUUUACAAAGAUGGUUUUCUACUUCAUCUUCCAACAGAACCAUCUAAAGAGAUCCUAAAGAACACUGAAGUAAUACUAAAGGAGGAAAGGGGGUGUGAGGACACUGGGAACAAUUUUAAAGGAGAAAAUGGCCCAUCAGUUGAACAGGUGGAGGCAUAUCUCAAGGAUGAAAAAUAUAUCUCAGAACAGGUUAGUUGUUUAAUUAAAAUUGUUUCAUUUGUUAUGUUAGCAAAAUUGUAUUAGUAUUAGUACUUUACACCUAGGACUAAAAUUCUACUUGCUGAUUGUAAGUUGCUUUAGUAAGUAACAGGUUACCUAACCAAUGUUUUGAACUUUGACAUAUGUGUUGUAUCUUGAUGUGGUUGGCAAUACCCAGCUGUAUUUGAAACAAACCCAGCGAUCAAUUAAAUUAGCUUAUAACUAUAUCUUGAUUUCCCCUUCUUACACUCUCAAGGACAAAUCACAAAACCUGGAAACAACCUCUUGCUGGGGUUCCACUGAGAAAUUGAAGCCAGAUGUGUUUU